UACGGAGGGUGCAAGCGUUAUCCGGAUUCACUGGGUUUAAAGGGGGUGUAGGCGGAUAUUUAAGUCAGUGGUGAAAUCUCCAGGCUCAACCUGGAAACUGCCAUUGAUACUAUUUAUCUUGAAUUCUGUUGAGGUGGGCGGAAUACAUCAUGUAGCGGUGAAAUGCUUAGAUAUGAUGUAGAACACCGAUUGCGAAGGCAGCUCACUAAGCAGACAUUGACGCUGAGGCACGAAAGCGUGGGGAUCAAACAGG
Molecule: ribosomal RNA, 253 nt
Filed under: uncultured bacterium
Lineage: Bacteria
Description: partial 16S ribosomal RNA
Rfam family: Bacterial small subunit ribosomal RNA
Source: RNAcentral